Long non-coding RNA from Panonychus citri (citrus red mite), 717 nucleotides. RefSeq lists it as uncharacterized. The transcript is spliced from 4 exons. The record is from RefSeq and is a predicted model, not a curated record. NCBI's taxonomy places the organism in Eukaryota, Metazoa, Arthropoda, Arachnida, Trombidiformes, Tetranychidae.
AGAGAGAAGAACAAAAAUAAAAGAGAAUAGAAAAAAACGAAGAGCCCAGAAAAUAGACUUUACUUUUCUAUUGGAGGGAAAAUGGAGACAAACAAAUUUACAACGUUUUCUCUUUUUCUGGGUUUGGUGAGAGAGAAUUUGUAAAAGCCCUGGAAUGUUAAGUCAUGAGAAAAGGCCUAAGGUCUUUUAUCGAUAGACAACAAACGACCCAAAGAGAGAGAGAGAGUAAAGAAAAGAGAUGAUGAUGAUAAGGAAGAAAAUAGAUUCUCCGCAUGGUUUUUGGCUUUAAAGAUUAACCCGGUUAACCUUAGACUGACCAUCACCACCAUCAUCAUUAUUUUCCAUUGAUUAUGACCAUUGAUAUGGAUCUUUUUUCGUUUUCUCUCUCUCUCUCUCUCGUCAUGUAAUCUAUGUAGAUGUUUGACCGGUGGACUUGUUCAUCUUUUCAUUGUACAGGUGAAUUAAAGGGUGAAGGUUGUGGAGAGAAAAUUUUUGGCCAUCAUGGAGAAAUUAAGGCGAACAUAAUUUGUUCUAUUCUAUUCCAUAAUUUUUGUCUUCCAUCAUAAUCUUCAUCCAUAUGAUGUGCUUUUGUUCUAAGACUUGGAUCAUCUUUCAUCUUCUACUACCACAGGACAUUGAGAAUACAAAUUCUCGGUCACGGCCAUUGGUCGAAUUAUAACUGUGUGGACUCUUCAAACAAUUGGAAUAGCAACAAAA